This 203-nucleotide long non-coding RNA is filed under the name Mytilus galloprovincialis (Mediterranean mussel). Lineage: Eukaryota; Metazoa; Mollusca; Bivalvia; Mytilida; Mytilidae. The record is from RNAcentral.
AACUAUACGAAAGUCUUAAGUUGUAUGAUAUAACAAAAUGAAAAACAAAUAGUUUAGUUGAACGCCUUUGUGUCAUGAGCACAUAAAACGACAAAAAAUGUAACCUUAUCAAAAAUCGUCAUCUUCCUGUAAUAUAUUUAGACACCAGAAACCGGUAAAAUGUGAUACAACUAUAACUUUGCGACGAUGAAAACUCACAGAUC